CGUCGCUGCGCAGGUGGGAGCGCAAAGGAAAGCACCGAGACGUGCGAGAGGCCAGGCGCGCUCCUCUCCGCGCGGUCGGAGCCGGGGGCUGAAGACCACUCGGCAGAGAGCCCCGCGGCAUCGGGGGCACCGUACUCUUUUGUUUGUUUGUCGUCGUUGUUGUGUAUUUCCUAAAGAACAAAACACAGACCCGAAGCGUACCCCGGGGAUUAACGUGUGAGCAAAAUUGCCUGCGUUUAUCGACAGCGUAUCUUAACCGAUGCCACCUCGUAGCGCUGUAAAUAAAAAGUCUGCAUAAUACCGUGAAGAUUCCAUCUUUUAGAGUACUCGGAAUCUGAUGUGUUUGAGUUCUGUCCCAAAAAACCUCUCGGAGAAUCAGACAGCUUGUGAAUGCAGCAGCUUGGAAUUCAGGUCUUCCUGCGCAGGUCCUCCCCUGCUCCUUUCCAGAGCUUUAAGGACACUGACCCUGCCUCCAAACCCAGGAGAUCUGCCUCUUAAACGCUACUGGCACAGCCGGCACGGGGAGCAGGAGGGGUUCGCAUUGACAGGAUUCCAGGCAAAAGCCGGAGUUAAAGAGCACAGCGGCCCCUUCCUCCUUGGUUCUCAUCUAUUUAAAACUGCUCUAAAAUAGAUCUUUUAAAUAGAUGAGAGACGGGAGCUUUCUGUAGCUGCAGAGUAAGGGAGCCACAUCGACAACAAAGGCUCCCGCCUCUGUGCCUCAGUGCCCUGAGCUCAAACCGCUGCUCGAGGAGAAAAUGGCACCGGGGGCUCAAAAAUCCCCACGGGGCUACACUGGAGCCUGAGCUCCAGAGGUUCGGAAGGAAACUGAAGAAGAAGUAGAUCCACCUUGAAAAUAACUCAGAAAUGAGCUGCUGAGACCGCUGGCUCCUCCCUCGGCGAAUGUGUACGUCUGCGGUGUUGUCUUUAACACCCCGAUCAGCUGAACUGCUCACUCUUCCAACGGAUGAUUACUGUCAAUCCUAAGCACGCCAAAUAUUUUUACAGUGUUUGGGGAACCAAAAAAAAAAAAUACCUUGAAACCAGAGAAGUGGUGAGAAGACUGAGUGAGCGGCGUGACACUGAUGUGGUGCUCGGGAUUGCUGCUCUGCACAAGGCCGCUGUCCUUCAGAAGUUUUCCGGCAUGAGAUCACGACUACUUGUGUGGCUGGGUUUGUUGUACAGAGGGCAAAAGCUGCAUCAUUCCACAGCAGGAGCCGAGUGCUUUUAAGAAAUGUUGGCUUUAAGUCACGUCACGCAGAGGGCAAGGGCGGUGUAUCACCGGCUACUGUGCAGCAAAUGGUGAGGGACCGCAAGAGAAACAGAUCCACGAAGGUGGAUGCCUUGCAAACAGUGAUCCGGGUUCAGAAACGCUACUGAAAAAAUUUAUUCUCCAGAAUGGCAAGUUUGAUGAUUCCCAGCAAGGUAACUUGCAAGAGUUUUUCAAGCAGAGGUGAUUUAACAGCAACUGCAAUUGCGAAAAUGAGAAAUUAUGACUGCCAACUAUUGGAACUGAGAGAAACCCCCUCCAAUAGAGAGAAUCUGAACAAGGACCAUAUGCAAGCAACACAUGAGGAUUACCUUCUGCUCUGUUCAGGAGAAACUGGGGAGUUUUGCUUAAUUUAUGCAUAUUUUAGGCUGCUGUAAAGAGCUCUGAUCAGCAGCUUUGGAUACUGUAAGGGUAAUACAGUGACCCUCAACUUAGCCACAGAGGCUGCUCAGGAGAGGCUAUCUCUAGGUGUGAGCUGAGGAAGCACCUGCCAACAGGCUGCUUUGGUCAGGAAAAUCCUCCGGCACAUUGGAUAUACCUACCUGAUCGGAAUGCUCAGAAGGCUUCACAGCAGACAACGAAGAAAAAAAAUGCUUUGGUUAUCACAGAAGAACUUUGUGGAGGGUGAGAGGAAAGAAAGAAAUUGCCUACGAACAGACACUGGAGAGUGUUUUCUUCAGAGGACUACAGCUCCCAGAUGCUUCUGCUCCUUUCUGCUGCUCUAAGUUCUGCAGUUACUCAUCACUUGACUCUAAGCGGUUCCAGUCUGUUAUUCUGUAUCACAAUACAUGUUGAAUUGGUGGCAUCACAUUCCAUUCCAGCAAAAGUGACUGAAAACCCUUCCUGUCUCAUAGGCAGUGGGUGUUCUACUUUUCUUUCAAGUCCCCCUUUCUUUUCCCCUUCUCCCUCUGCCUCUCUUCACUCCACCAUGCAGUCACCACUUCUGCCAUCCCUGAGCAGCCAUGCAAGACAAGCACAAACUGUCUGGAGGGCUGAAAAUGGAAGACGCAGCAGAUGGAAACACCAAAAUCAUCCUUUUCUGUAGGCUCUCUGAAAGCAGAGAUGCAAGAGAAUUUUGUACACUGCUUUUUUGGUUUUCUUUUUCUUUUUUUUUUUCUUUUUGUGACUUGACACAGAUAUACCUGCUCGAUCUGGAUGCUCAGAAGGCUCCACAGCAGACAAUGAAGAAAACACGUAGCUGUAGAUGUCCCUGUUUAUUGCAGGGCAGUUGGACUAGAUAAACUUUAAAGGUCCCUUCCAACGUAAACAAUUCUACGAUUGUAUGACUUCUGAGAUUUCUAACUGAUUUUAAAACUUUAAGUGAUCUUUAUGCUGUUAGUAAAUUCUUUUAAAAUGAUAAGGAAGUAGUGCUACAUAAAGUGAAACUGUCAAAGACUUUACACAUUGAUUUGGCAAGCUAGGAUUGUCAGCAGUACUCACCUGUAUGUCACAACCAGGGACAUCUGUUAGAAAGAGAGGUGCCACCGCUGUGUUAACUCACACAUAGAUGACUGUAUCACCAAGGAGGCUGUGCAGCCUGAGACCUGCCACAGUCAUGCUGGGCUGAAGUGAGAUUUUUGUUGAAAAGAAGAUAAUGGGUGGUUCUGGGCACCACUGAGGCAUAUGCAGGGCAGUAAAGUAGACAAUGGCAAUCUUAGAGACCCAGAGAUGCAACAGACCAUCCAUCUCUGGUCAUUUCUGUCACAUGAAAAAGCAAACUUAAGUAAUCUCUGAAUUUUCUGAGCAUGGACAGCAUCUCAGAAAAAAUCACAAAUGCUGAACAAUUCUGAAGUAUGUUUUAACUCUGUUGGAUUUCUGAUCAAGAAUUGAAGUACAAAGAUACAUUGCUAUCCUUUUCAGAUCAGCAGAAACACCCCAAGCAUUGCCAGAGAAGUGAGUGCCCCUGAGGUUACAAAUGGAGGUGCAGAACAGAAACUCGGGCACAUCAAGCAGGGAGGGACUUUAGGAGUUUGGGACAAGCAGGCAGCAAGGUAAGAGCUUUCAGGAUGUUUUCCUAUCUCCUACCUUGAGCAUCUCUGUCACGUGCAGGGUUGAGUCUAAAGCUCCAAGUUCACAGCAAUAUCCAGCAUGUGUUAUCAGAUAGGAAUGCUUCUCCUUCAAAUCUAACCAUCUGUAUUUGUGGCUGCGAAUACUUUUAUCUGAAUUAUUUUAUCUGUAAAUAUUCUCCCAAAUUGUUUUCAAGGAAUAAAUAAUAUGAAGCACUACAUCUCUGAAAAAUCCAAACGAAUCCAGCAAUUGUUUAGUAAAGGCUAAGUGCUUUUCAUGAGAACAUUUAAGAUAAAGGAAUAUAUGUACUUCUCUUCCUGUUUAUAAUAUGAUUCAGAGUUCAUUAAAGGAACUGGGAAUAGAGCAGAAAAGGUGUUAAAAGGUGACAGUUAAAAGGCGAUAGUACCAGAGAUCAAUUGAUUGCAGGUUUCACAGAGAAAAUAUUAGGAAGUUCUGUGUGCCCAUAAGGUUCAAUUGAAGUGUGUGAAGAUCAGUCACUCCAACGGUUAUCCUAAAUUCUCAAAAUAAAAAUGUCAUCACAACAAUUUCUUAAAUAGUUUUCUGCCUUUUCAUUCUCUUCCUAGAUGGAGAAUUUCCAUCAAAAUAUGUUGCUUAUUUAAGCCUUCAUUUUUAUGCUGAUUCUACAUGCUAGAAAGGAGAAAACAAAUAUUAAGCGUGUUUUUCAAAAUGACACAGAAGAGACAGAGCCAAGUUAGUUAUCUUCAUGAUCUCAGCAAAAUGGCAGGG
Molecule: long non-coding RNA, 4021 nt
Filed under: Gallus gallus (chicken)
Lineage: Eukaryota; Metazoa; Chordata; Aves; Galliformes; Phasianidae
Description: lncRNA (ENSGALG00010010624.1)
Source: RNAcentral